RNAcentral lists this ribosomal RNA (244 nucleotides) under uncultured bacterium. Its description in RNAcentral is "partial 16S ribosomal RNA". It matches the Rfam family "Bacterial small subunit ribosomal RNA", at positions 91 to 334 of the family's 1533-position model. The record is from RNAcentral.
CCGAGUGGCGAACGGGUGAGGAACGCGUGGACAACCUACCCCGGCGUGGGGGAUACCCGCCAGAAAUGGCGGCUAAUACCGCGUACGGUUCUCCGGCGAAGGGCUGGGGAAAGAAAGCAGUAAUGCGCGCUGGGAGGGGUCUGCGGCCGAUUAGCUUGUUGGCGGGGUAACGGCUCACCAAGGCGAUGAUCGGUAGCUGGUCUGAGAGGAUGAUCAGCCACACGGGGACUGAGACACGGCCCCG